Molecule: ribosomal RNA, 505 nt
Filed under: bacterium enrichment clone A53
Lineage: Bacteria
Description: bacterial SSU rRNA
Rfam family: Bacterial small subunit ribosomal RNA
Source: RNAcentral
AGAGUUUGAUCCUGGCUCAGAUCGAACGCUGGCGGCAGGCUUAACACAUGCAAGUCGAGCGGUAACAGGAGUAGCUUGCUACCCGCUGACGAGCGGCGGACGGGUGAGUAAUGCUUAGGAACCUGCCCAGUAGUGGGGGAUAGCCCGGGGAAACCCGGAUUAAUACCGCAUACGUCCUACGGGAGAAAGCAGGGGAUCUUCGGACCUUGCGCUAUUGGAUGAGCCUAAGUCGGAUUAGCUAGUUGGUGGGGUAAAGGCCUACCAAGGCGACGAUCCGUAGCUGGUCUGAGAGGAUGAUCAGCCACAUCGGGACUGAGACACGGCCCGAACUCCUACGGGAGGCAGCAGUGGGGAAUAUUGGACAAUGGGGGCAACCCUGAUCCAGCCAUGCCGCGUGUGUGAAGAAGGCUUUCGGGUUGUAAAGCACUUUCAGUAGGGAGGAAAACCUUAUGGUUAAUACCCAUGAGGCUGACGUACCUACAGAAGAGCACCGUSGUCCCUCCCC